This 759-nucleotide ribosomal RNA is filed under the name Fusarium dimerum. Its description in RNAcentral is "partial large subunit ribosomal RNA". It matches the Rfam family "Eukaryotic large subunit ribosomal RNA", at positions 115 to 905 of the family's 3401-position model. The record is from RNAcentral. Lineage: Eukaryota; Fungi; Ascomycota; Sordariomycetes; Hypocreales; Nectriaceae.
UUGAAAUCUGGCUCUCGGGCCCGAGUUGUAAUUUGUAGAGGAUGCUUUUGGCAAGGUGCCUUCCGAGUUCCCUGGAACGGGACGCCAUAGAGGGUGAGAGCCCCGUCUGGUUGGACACCGAGCCUCUGUAAAGCUCCUUCGACGAGUCGAGUAGUUUGGGAAUGCUGCUCUAAAUGGGAGGUAUAUGUCUUCUAAAGCUAAAUACUGGCCAGAGACCGAUAGCGCACAAGUAGAGUGAUCGAAAGAUGAAAAGCACUUUGAAAAGAGAGUUAAAAAGCACGUGAAAUUGUUGAAAGGGAAGCGCUUAUGACCAGACUUGGGCUUGGUUGAUCAUCCGGCGUUCUCGCCGGUGCACUCUUCCAGUUCAGGCCAGCAUCAGUUUGCCUCGGGGGAUAAAAGUAGCGGGAAUGUGGCUCCUCCGGGAGUGUUAUAGCCCGCUGCAUAAUACCCUGUGGCAGACUGAGGACCGCGCUUCGUGCAAGGAUGCUGGCGUAAUGGUCAUCAGCGACCCGUCUUGAAACACGGACCAAGGAGUCGUCUUCGUAUGCGAGUGUUCGGGUGUCAAACCCCUACGCGUAAUGAAAGUGAACGCAGGUGAGAGCUUCGGCGCAUCAUCGACCGAUCCUGAUGUUCUCGGAUGGAUUUGAGUAAGAGCAUACGGGGCCGGACCCGAAAGAAGGUGAACUAUGCCUGUGUAGGGUGAAGCCAGAGGAAACUCUGGUGGAGGCUCGCAGCGGUUCUGACGUGCAAAUCGAUCGU